Molecule: long non-coding RNA, 1375 nt
Filed under: Olea europaea (common olive)
Lineage: Eukaryota; Viridiplantae; Streptophyta; Magnoliopsida; Lamiales; Oleaceae
Description: long non-coding RNA (OEUR_LNC008116)
Source: RNAcentral
CGGCCAUAGGACCCCGACACCUUCUCAUGGAGGAGGAAGCUAUGGCGGCACGCCACCAGCUUGCAACUGCGGGAACCCACCAAAUGGAGGGCACCACCAUACUACUCCUUCUCCUCCCACCGGAGGUGGUGGUGGGUACUAUAACCCCCCUCCAAGCUCUAGCCCAACUACACCCACUAUUGUGAGUCCACCCACCAUUUUAAGUCCUCCAACCACUCCAAUCGACCCUGGAACUUCCAGUCCUCCAAUCUACCCCGGAACUCCAUCGAUUCCAUCACCUCCAUCUGGAGGAGGAAGCUAUGGCUGCACGCCACCAGCUGGAAACUGCGGAAACCCCCCAAGUGGAGGGCACCACCAUACUACUCCUUCUCCUCCCACCGGAGGUGGUGGUGGGUACUAUACCCCCCCUCCAAGCUCUACCCCAACUACACCCACCAUUGGGAGUCCACCCACCAUUUUAAGUCCUCCAACCACUCCAAUCGACCCUGGAACUUCCAUUCCUCCAAUCUACCCCGGAACUCCAUCGAUUCCAUCACCUCCAUCUGGAGGAGGAAGCUAUGGCUGCACGCCACCAGCUGGAAACUGCGGAAACCCCCCAAGUGGAGGGCACCACCAUACUACUCCUUCUCCUCCCACCGGAGGUGGUGGUGGGUACUAUACCCCCCCUCCAAGCUCUACCCCAACUACACCCACCAUUGGGAGUCCACCCACCAUUUUAAGUCCUCCAACCACUCCAAUCGACCCUGGAACUUCCAUUCCUCCAAUCUACCCCGGAACUCCAUCGAUUCCAUCACCUCCAUUUGCAUUUGAUCCAAACUCGCCGCCUUUUACUUGCAUGUAAGUAAUACUAUUCAUCUUUAUUUUUCAAAUCACACUAGGUGGCAUGUUUUAUUAAUAUUAAAAAUAAACAUAGUACAGACUUUGGAGGAGUCUCGGCCUGACCUAAGAGUAAAUUGACACUAACUUUGUUUUGUUCGAUAAACUGCAGUUACUGGAGGACUCACCCUGGACUGAUCUGGGGACUGUUCGGCUGGUUGGGAAGUGUCGGUGGAGCAUUCGGAGUGGCUAGCGUACCUGGGCUCGGAUCUAGCACGAACCUGCUACAAGCUCUUUCGAACAGCCGACCAGAUGGGCUCGGAGCACUCUACAGGGAAGGCACGGCUGCUUUACUGAACUCCAUGGUGCACAGAGGCUUCCCUUACACAACAAGGCAAGUUAGGGAUAGUUUUGCAGCUGCACUUAGCUCCAACAAGGCUGCAGCAGCUCAAGCAAAGCUAUUCAAGCAAGCUAAUGAGGGAAGAAGCAAGCCUAGAGCUUGAAUUACCAGUAACGUUUAUUCUGGAAUCUGAGUGACUGUGUGUUUUUUUCAUAUUUA